Long non-coding RNA from Lolium perenne, 498 nucleotides. RefSeq lists it as uncharacterized. The record is from RefSeq and is a predicted model, not a curated record. NCBI's taxonomy places the organism in Eukaryota, Viridiplantae, Streptophyta, Magnoliopsida, Poales, Poaceae.
UCACCGGUCCCCCACCAUCGAGUCCGACACACCUCACAUGGGCCUCAGCUUACCACCGUGACACUUCGGUUGACGAGUUCAGGCAGAUCGCACAGGACGCCCAGGACACUUUGAACUUGCGCAACAUGGAUAGUACGGAGGGAAAAUCCAUGGUAAAACGUAUUUUUAAUACUGCCAUUAAAGGGCUUAGGCGUCUUGGUUGCAGCCGCCAUAAUGAUGUUGUCAGUCGAGCAUUCGACAUGCCGGAGGCACCGUCGAACAGACCGAGUAUGGUACGUGUGAGCCAGCCAUCCGCCACACCGACCGUACCAGUUCCCUCUACCUCGCAUACAUCUAAUCCACGACGCGACUCAUCUCUACUUGAACGAUCACAGUCCGCACACAUAUCUCAACGCCAUGGUGCCACACAGGAGGACGAUCAUUUUCCGUCAUAUCCAUCUGGACAACGAUUCUCCUACACAGAAGGCGAAUAUUCGCAAAGAUUCAACACUCAGGUAU